GGGGGUGUAGCUGAGGGGUAGAGCGUUCGCUUUGCAUGCGAAUAGUCCAGUGUUCAAAUCCCUGCAUCUCCA
Molecule: non-coding RNA, 72 nt
Organism: Trichonephila clavipes
Lineage: Eukaryota; Metazoa; Arthropoda; Arachnida; Araneae; Nephilidae
Source: the annotation of a GenBank genome assembly